GAGACGGCAAUUUUGACUGGCCGUUUGUUGACAGGGAGAGAAGGUGACUUCUCGGCUAAAGGAGAAGUACCUUCGACUAUUUCUAUUAAAAAGUGCAUUUAAAAGACCAACUGGAGUAUAUAUACCACCAUGACUUCUUUUGGGAAGGCGUUCGGAGUCCUUCGCACGGGAGCUCAGCUGCUGAGGCAAAGCCCGGGAAGAAUAACGAGCAGAAAAGCCAGCGGCGGGCCCCACAUCGAACCGCAGUACAGACAGUACCCCCAACUGACGAAGAAUCAGAAGUUUCAAGCUGAGUUCCUCAGUGGUGCCAUGUGGUUCUGGAUUCUGUGGCACUGCUGGCAUGACCCAGAUGCAGUUCUGGGUCAUUUCCCCUGGCCUGAUGCCUCUCAGUGGACAGACGAGGAGCUCGGUAUUCCCCCUGAUGAUGAAGAAUGAGGUGCAGCUACUCUCAUUUUACACCCGCGUGUCGUCUUGACCCACUAACAUGAUCGCCAUAAAGGAUUCCAGCUGUUUGGCUCAUCUGUGUGGAAGUCUUCAAGGUUUUCUGAAAGUUGUACAUAGACUAAUAAAAUUCUAUGAAGUAA
This is an RNA transcript of Oryzias latipes (Japanese medaka), 584 nucleotides long. It is a transcript of the gene named NADH:ubiquinone oxidoreductase subunit B2, with no coding region annotated. Lineage: Eukaryota; Metazoa; Chordata; Actinopteri; Beloniformes; Adrianichthyidae. The record is from RefSeq and is a predicted model, not a curated record.